UUUCUUCUCUGCUGAGACACUUAGGAGAUAAUUGAACUGUCCUAUGCUGCAUUGAAGGAAUGUAGCCACGAGCGGAUAUGAACUCCAUGGCAACCACAUAUCGACAUCGUCUUUUCAACACCUGGGAAAUGCCAGUGUUAGAGGUCUGCAUAGGGGCUUCUCUCCUUCCAUUUCAAGAUUGGGACAUCAGAUUCUCAUUGCCACUCUAUGAACACCUGGGCUGGUGGUCCUGUGUUCUAUAAUAAAGCAGGCUGAGCUGGUCACAAGGAGCAAGCCAGUAAGCAGCAUUCUUCCAUGGCCUCUGCAUCAGUUCCAGAUUCCAG
Molecule: long non-coding RNA, 323 nt
Filed under: Cricetulus griseus (Chinese hamster)
Lineage: Eukaryota; Metazoa; Chordata; Mammalia; Rodentia; Cricetidae
Description: lncRNA (ENSCGRG00015043021.1)
Source: RNAcentral